CCUACGGGUGGCAGCAGUGGGGAAUAUUGCACAAUGGGGGAAACCCUGAUGCAGCGACGCCGCGUGAGUGAAGAAGGAUUUCGGGAUGGAAAGCUCUAUCAGCAGGGAAGAAAAUGACGGUACCUGAGUAAGAAGCCACGGAUAACUACGUGCCAGCAGCCGCGGUAAUACGUAGGGGGCAGGCGUUAUCCGGAGUUACUGGGUGUAAAGGGAGCGUAGAGGGCUGCACCAGUCUGGAGUGAAAUGCCGGGGCUGACCCCCGGAACUGCUUUUGAAACUGUGCAGCUAGAGUGCAGUAGAGGUAAGUGGAAUUCCUUGUGUAGCGGUUACAUGCGUAGCUAUUAGG
RNAcentral lists this ribosomal RNA (346 nucleotides) under uncultured bacterium. RNAcentral describes it as "partial 16S ribosomal RNA". It matches the Rfam family "Bacterial small subunit ribosomal RNA", at positions 338 to 701 of the family's 1533-position model. The record is from RNAcentral.